GGAAAAGGUAUUAAGGGCACAGGAUGGAUGCCUUGGCACUUACAGCCGAAGAAAGACGUCGCAAGCUGCGAAAAGCCUCGGGGAGCCGCAAGCGGGCCUUGAUCCGGGGAUAUCUGAAUGGGGCAACCCGUCGGAGGAAGACUCCGACACACCGCAAGGUGGGGAACCUGGUGAAGUGAAACAUCUCAGUAGCCAGAGGAAAAGAAAUCGAAGAGAUACCCUGAGUAGUGGUGAGCGAAAGGGGAAGAGCCUAAACCGAACAUGUGGAAGCCUGCAAGCGUUGCAUGUUUGGGGUUGAGGGACCUUCGGGAGCAGAUUGCAGACUGCUCGCAGAGUUAGAAAGCGUCAGCUUAGCUGAACGGUGUUGGAAAAGCCGGCCGUAGAGGGUGAAAGCCCUGUAGGCGAAAAGCUGAAGUCUCUGAGAAGGGAUCCCAAGUAGGCCGGAGCACGUGGAAUUCCGGUUGAAUCAGGGCGGCCCAUCGUCCAAGGCUAAACACUGUAAGUGACCGAUAGCGCAUAGUACCGAGAGGGAAAGGUGAAAAGCACCCCGGGAGGGGAGUGAAAUAGACCUGAAACCCUGUGCCUACAAGCAGUUGAAGCUGGAAGCGGAGCGAUCCGUGGAAAGUAACAGCGUGCCUAUUGAAAAAUGAGCCGGCGAGAUGCUGUACGUAGCGAGGUUAAGAUCUUUAGAAGGAUUGGAGCCGAAGCGAAAGCGAGUCCGAAGAGGGCGCGAGUUUCGUGCAGCACACCCGAAGCCCGACGAUCUAGCCAUGGGCAGGUUGAAGUGAGGGUGAAACCUCAUGGAGGACCCAACCAGUGCCUGUUGAAAAAGUCUUGGAUGACCUGUGGUUAGGAGUGAAAAGCUAAUCGAGUUGGGUAAUAGCUGGUUCUCCCCGAAAUGCAUUGAGGUGCAGCCUCAAGUAGUAAGUGUCGGGGGUAGAGCUACUGACAGAUCAAGGGGUCCUGGGGGACUACCGAGAUCUAUCAAACUCCGAAUACCGACACUGUAAACUUGGGAGUGAGACUACGGGUGAUAAGGUUCGUGGUCAAAAGGGAAACAGCCCAGAUCAACAGCUAAGGCCCCAAAGAGUUCGCUAAGUGUGACAAGGAUGUGGGAAGCCUCAGACAGCCAGGAGGUUGGCUCAGAAGCAGCCAUCCUUUAAAGAGUGCGUAACAGCUCACUGGUCGAGGUCUCCUGCGCCGAAAAUGUAGGGGGCUAAGCGAACCGCCGAAGCUAUGGGAUGUGAAGACAUCGGUAGGGGAGCGUACUCUAAAGGGAAGAAGCCGCAUUGUGAAGUGCGGUGGACUACAGAGUAGUGAGAAUGUCGGCAUGAGUAACGCAAUGCGAGUGAGAGCCUCGCACACCGAAAGACCAAGGAUUCCUGGGGAAGGUUCGUCCGCCCAGGGUUAGGCGGGACCUAAGGUCAGGCUGAAAAGCGUAGCCGAUGGACAACCGGUAGACAUUCCGGUCCCGCGAGAGCUUGCAUGACCGAAGGAGUGACGCAGGAGGCUAAGUGGAGCCGGCGGAUGGAAGAGCCGGUUCAAGGGAGUAGGGAGACGAGGCAGGCAAAUCCACCUUGUCGAUAAUCCUGAGACCUGAUGGGGAGCCCUUAGAGGGUGAAGCCACUGAAGCCCGGCUGCCGAGAAAAGCUUCUAGGGAGAGCGAUCGCGCCCGUACCCGAAACCGACACAGGUGGUCAGGCUGAACAAGCCAAGGUGAAUGGGAAAACUCUCGUUAAGGAACUCUGCAAGUUGACUCCGUAACUUAGGGAGAAGGAGUGCUGCGCCCGUGAAAUGGAUACUCAUGUAAGCGGGAAGCAGCCGCAGAAACCAGGCCCAAGCGACUGUUUAAUAAAAACAUAGGACUCUGCGUAAGGUGCAAACCGAAGUAUAGGGUCUGACGCCUGCCCGGUGCUGGAAGGUUAAAGGGAAGAGUUAGCCGCAAGGCGAAGCUUAGAACUGAAGCCCCAGUAAACGGCGGCCGUAACUAUAACGGUCCUAAGGUAGCGAAAUUCCUUGUCGGGUAAGUUCCGACCUGCACGAAUGGCGUAACGAUUUGGGCGCUGUCUCGACGAGAGACCCAGUGAAAUUGUAGUACCGGUCAAGAUGCCGGUUACCCGUGGCGGGACGGAAAGACCCCAUGGAGCUUUACUGUAGCCUGGUACUGACGUUUGACCUUACACGUACAGGAUAGGUGGGAGACUGAGAAUACAGAUCGUUAGAUUUGUAGGAGUCGAUGUUGGGAUACCACCCUUGUGAUGUUGAACGUCUAACGCAUAGCACUGAAGCGUGAAUGCGGACCCUGCCAGGUGGGCAGUUUGACUGGGGCGGUCGCCUCCUAAAGAGUAACGGAGGCGCGCAAAGGUCAACUCAGGGCGGAUGGAAAUCGCCCAGAGAGCGUAAGGGUAUAAGUUGGCUUGACUGCGAGAGUGACAAUUCGAGCAGAGACGAAAGUCGGUCCUAGUGAUCCGGCGGUGCUGAGUGGAAAGGCCGUCGCUCAUCGGAUAAAAGCUACCCUGGGGAUAACAGGCUGAUCUCCCCCGAGAGUUCCCAUCGACGGGGAGGUUUGGCACCUCGAUGUCGGCUCGUCGCAUCCUGGGGCUGUAGCAGGUCCCAAGGGUUGGUCUGUUCGCCCAUUAAAGCGGUACGUGAGCUGGGUUUAAAACGUCGUGAGACAGUUUGGUCCCUAUCCGCCACGGGCGCAAGAUAUUUGAGAGGAGCUGCUCCUAGUACGAGAGGACCGGAGUGGACGCACCGCUAGUGUACCGGUUGUGUUGCCAGACGCAGAAGCCGGGUAGCCAUGUGCGGCAGGGAUAACCGCUGAAGGCAUCUAAGUGGGAAGCCCCCCUCGAGAUGAGAUAUCUCACAACGGAAGGUUGGUAAGGCGUCCCUGAGACGAAGGGAUAGAUAGGUCGGGAGUGUAAGAGCCGCGAGGUUUUUAGCUGACCGAUACUAAUACGCCGAGGCCUUUUUCUU
Molecule: ribosomal RNA, 2976 nt
Organism: Jonquetella anthropi DSM 22815
Lineage: Bacteria; Thermotogati; Synergistota; Synergistia; Synergistales; Dethiosulfovibrionaceae
Rfam family: Bacterial large subunit ribosomal RNA
Source: Rfam